UUCGCUGAUUGGAAUUGUUGCUCAUUGUACGUGGUGGUGCAUGAGUCGUAUCACGAUCGUUUGGGUAGGCAGGCUCCGUGCUCGCGCAUCGAAUUGCUUCCCCGCGAUCCUUUCAGUCCUAGCCCAAGUGAAUGUUUUGUAAGUGGGCAAAUGUCGGGUUCCUGUGUUGCAUACCCACACUAGUGGAAUUCAAUGAUGUUGCUGUCCCAUAUUUCGCCUUUGUGCCUCCUUUGGGGCAUCGGGUGAACAUUGUAGCGGUACCUGUGUUCCAAACAUGCUGUUUCGGCUGUUGUGGCCCAUGGACUGUCGCUCGUGCUAUCGGAUGCGGAAUGCUAUGCGGGCGGGAGGGCGGAAAUCAUCCUCCAUUAGCCCAUUGUUUCCUAAAUAUGAACGACAGACGC
RNAcentral lists this long non-coding RNA (401 nucleotides) under Ricinus communis (castor bean). RNAcentral describes it as "long non-coding RNA (RCOM_LNC003762)". Lineage: Eukaryota; Viridiplantae; Streptophyta; Magnoliopsida; Malpighiales; Euphorbiaceae. The record is from RNAcentral.